GACCUCUUACUAAUAAAUUCACGCUUCACAAAACAAACGCCAGACCCAAACCCUGACAUUAUUAGCCAUCCCUUCCUCUUUCAUCUCUCUCCCGUUUCUUCUCUUAAUCCUUCUUGUUCAAACUAAUCCAAUCAUCCAGUUAUCUGGGUGAAUACCUCUCUCUCAAACAGAAUUGGGGUUUCUUUCAGAUCUGAGGUGAAUCGAUCGACAAGAAAAUUUGAUGAUUUUGCAUUUGGCUCCAACUAAUUUGGGUUUCUCAUCUCACCUACUUGGAUUCCGCCGAAGUGGACAUAGCCUUGCAGCGAUGGUCAUACAUGGUAACCCUUUAUUCUUUGACAUUUAGUUCCUCGAUUUCUAGAGUUUCUCUAGUUUUCCAAUAUUGACCCUUUUUCUGGCUCUUGUGCUUCUUCUUCGUGAUCGGCUAUCCACAUCAUUUACACUGAGAGGCCGCAGCAAAAUGAGGAGCCUGAGCUAUCACAUCCGAACCCUAGCCUUCGUCCUUGGCAGUGAAAAGACUGCCAAGGAAGUUCUGGUUUAAAGUUACAAGACGGCUGCCAGUGGAUUCUCUGCUAAGCUCACUCAACAGGUCGCCGAAAAUCUCGAAGUGUCAUUAUUUGCCUUACUAUUUUGCGGUGUGUGAAUUGAGAAUGUAAUAAUACUUUUUCGAUUGCUGGUGGAGGAACUUCAGCACCUAAAGAAGAGGUCAAGCGUCUGCCGGGUGGGAAGGUCAAGAAAAAGGAGAAGCUGGAGGUUAUUAUUGAAAAGGUUACACACAAUAAGCGAAAAUGUAUCACAACUAUCAAAGGACUGGAGCUUUUUGGUGUCAAACUUAGUGAUACUUCAAAGAAGUUAGGGAAGAAAUUUGCUACAGGAGCUUCUGUUGUCAAGGGGCCAACCGAGAAGGACCAAAUUGAUGUUCAAGGGGAUAUAUUUUAUGACAUUGUGGAGUUCAUUACCGACACCUGGCCUGAUCAAAAUUAGAUCUUUUCUUAAGUUGGAAGAUGUGCUUAGUUUGUAAUCUUUCACAAAUGCAUGUGAGUCACUGAAGGUCCACUGAAAGGGGCUCCAGUUGUUUUUAAGAAUUUUAAACCAUGAAGGUUUAUCCUGCACAAAGGCCGGUGGAAAUGAGGCUGAUAUGAUGGCUGCUAAUGAGUUAAAUGCUCACACAUCCCUUCAAGACAGUUCAGAUGGUAUUUACCAGAAUCUUGUGACACUCAUACGUGGGUUUGAAACAACAACUGGGAAGCAGUUCUAGGACACAAAAAUUGUGUCCUUAUAGGAAAAAGAGGACACAUUUUGCUUGAUACAAGAACACAUUUUUUGUGUCCUCUAAUAGAUUCGGAAAUUUGGUCGAUGUGAAUGUUGAGGACUUUAUCUCGGAUGAGCUCCUAGAGUAUAUAUCACUGAUAGUUGACAGGUUAGAUGAAACCUCGAUGCUAGCUAUCAAUUGACUGAUGAGAAUAAAAAGCUCAACAGAGAAGGAAAGGACAUGGUAAUUGAAAAAGAAGCAUAUUGAAAACUAGGAAACCAAAAGCGGAUAUAGUGUAACACUGAACUAUUAGUUUAUUACCUUCUGUUUUUACUUGGUGAAUGACAUCCUCUGUUUGAUUAAUAGGAUCAAUGAUCUCUUUUGCUAUACUAGAUGAAUCAUUAGUACAUUCAAACAAUUGAUACCUUGGACAAAAGAAGAGGUCAGUACAUACUCUUAUCUUGGUGUGGUAUGUAAGUGAUCAAAUUCAAAAGAUUGUACACCUUGCAACUAAAAGCUUCAGUUCAUUUAUAUGUAAUUCGAGUGGUGAUUUAAAGUAUGUUGAUAGAAGCUACUUGUUUCUAGUUGACAGGUUAGAUGAAAGCUCAAUGUUAGCUAUCAGUUGAGUGACGAGCCCAGAUUUCUCUCUUGUUUGUUGUAGUUAGGUAACUUCAAAUAUGUUUAGGGUUUAGGGAUAUAGCUAGGUUUAAUUGAUUGAUGUAAUGAGUUCUACUGAUACAUUUCUCAUUGUUACUUUGUAAAUGAAAUUAAUUAUAAUGAGGGUAAUAUGAGUAUGAUAUUUGAG
This 2054-nucleotide long non-coding RNA is filed under the name Rosa chinensis. RNAcentral's name for it is "sRNA RchiOBHm_Chr6g0253351". Lineage: Eukaryota; Viridiplantae; Streptophyta; Magnoliopsida; Rosales; Rosaceae. The record is from RNAcentral.